Molecule: long non-coding RNA, 508 nt
Filed under: Coturnix japonica (Japanese quail)
Lineage: Eukaryota; Metazoa; Chordata; Aves; Galliformes; Phasianidae
Description: lncRNA (ENSCJPG00005016546.1)
Source: RNAcentral
CUGAAACUGGUUAGCAACCAGAACCUCGCUUUGAUGGUUACACUGAGAUGGAAGGAGGAACGGGAAGAGGGAAGAUUAACCUUUCACUGGCCACAAUGCGUUGCCUCUUAUUGAGGAGGAUUCAGCAGCCCAACCCCCUCCAAUCCAGCCUAUCUGUCUGAAUUGCUGAAAGCAUAAUGCUCCCAUAUGAGAGAUAACACCACAUGUGCCUCGCUCUGCAUACACGGAGUGAUUCCCCACCACCCUGAAGACAUCACCACAUGUGCUGUAGGAACCAAAGCCAGCAGGAAAGUCUCCUUCCCACAGUGAGUUAAGCUGGCCUUUGCUCUGCUUGACGCUGCCCAUUUGAGGAAAGAUUCUCCCUGACCUUCUGCCAGAGAGACUGAUGACAAGGACGGUUUGAACUAACCCUGACAUUCACCAGGGUAAAUGGCUUUUUCCACAAGUAGUCAGCAGGCAAAGAGAGCUAGUCAAGAGCUAAUGAAUCUGCACCUGAGGGAAACCAAGC